This is a long non-coding RNA of Prunus avium (sweet cherry), 374 nucleotides long. RefSeq lists it as uncharacterized. The record is from RefSeq and is a predicted model, not a curated record. NCBI's taxonomy places the organism in Eukaryota, Viridiplantae, Streptophyta, Magnoliopsida, Rosales, Rosaceae.
UCUAUCCCAAGCGCUCUACAAACUCGCCAAAUGGCAACUCUCGAUCUCAAAUUGUUUCCCACCAGAACUCUGGGGGUUUGUUUUCCUCCCAGAAGAGCAAUAACGGCAACCGCUCAGCUGACCGUUGAAAUGAACACAACCGAGAAGAAGAUAUUCGAUAGACUCUUGGCAGCACGUUCGCCAUUUUGGCUUUGGGAACCACCUUGGAGUCGCGGGCGGAUGGGUUCGCGAUAAGCUUGUGUUGUGGCACAGCAAAGAGGAUGCAAAGAGAAGGGGAUUUAACCAUUAGCAGGAUUUGGUAUGGCAAGUUAAUGCCCAUGGGUGGACCUACUACAAUAGGAACAAGAUCUGAAUUGCAGGAGAAAGUUUUGCCU